Small nucleolar RNA from Ornithorhynchus anatinus (platypus), 138 nucleotides. NCBI's taxonomy places the organism in Eukaryota, Metazoa, Chordata, Mammalia, Monotremata, Ornithorhynchidae. The record is from RefSeq and is a predicted model, not a curated record.
CCCUUCUCAGGAUCGCAACUGGAGAGUUUCCAGUAUUCUACCAGUCUCGGUUUUGGGAGGAAGAGUCAAGCAGAGGCAUACUCAUUCCAUUCCUAGCUUGGGCAGUGGCUAAUAAGUGGAAGGCCAUCCGCUUCAAGU